This 414-nucleotide ribosomal RNA is filed under the name Allobates femoralis group sp. ABGD cluster 9. RNAcentral's name for it is "partial large subunit ribosomal RNA". It matches the Rfam family "Bacterial large subunit ribosomal RNA", at positions 1834 to 2457 of the family's 2925-position model. The record is from RNAcentral. Lineage: Eukaryota; Metazoa; Chordata; Amphibia; Anura; Aromobatidae.
CUUGAUCAAUUAUAAGAGGUCAAGCCUGCCCAGUGACAUUGUUCAACGGCCGCGGUAUCCUAACCGUGCGAAGGUAGCGUAAUCACUUGUCCUUUAAAUAAGGACUAGUAUGAACGGCUUCACGAAGGCUAUACUGUCUCCUUAAUCUAAUCAAUUAAACUAAUCUCCCCGUGAAGAAGCGGGGAUUCAUCUAUAAGACGAGAAGACCCUAUGGAGCUUUAAACAUCUAAGACACUUGAUUUUUACCUACUAAACUUCAUGUAACCUAUCCUUUUGUCUUAAGUUUUAGGUUGGGGUGACCACGGAGAAAAAUUAAACCUCCACGUAGAAAGAAAAUUCUUUUCUAAGCAAAAAGCCACAUCUUAACGCAUCAAUAUAUUGACUUAACUUGACCCAAUUUCUUGCUCAACGAAC